RNAcentral lists this ribosomal RNA (207 nucleotides) under uncultured bacterium. RNAcentral's name for it is "partial 16S ribosomal RNA". It matches the Rfam family "Bacterial small subunit ribosomal RNA", at positions 568 to 774 of the family's 1533-position model. The record is from RNAcentral.
CGUGCAGGCGGGUUGGUAAGUCAGAUGUGAAAGCCCUGGGCUCAACCUAGGAAGUGCAUUUGAAACUGCCAUCCUUGAGUAUGGGAGAGGAGAGUGGAAUUCCCAAUGUAGAGGUGAAAUUCGUAGAUAUUGGGAGGAACACCCGUGGCGAAGGCGACUCUCUGGACCAAUCCUGACGCUGAGACGCGAAAGCGUGGGGAGCAAACA